AGCGAACGCUGGCGGCAUGCUUAACACAUGCAAGUCGAGCGGGCAUCCUAGUGGUUUCAGCGGCAGACGGGUGAGUAACGCGUGGGAACGUGCCCUUCGGUUCGGCAUAACUCAGGGAAACUUGAGCUAAUACCGGAUACGUGCGCGAGCAGAAAGGUUUAUCUGCCGAAGGAUCGGCCCGCGUCUGAUUAGCUAGUUGGUGAGGUUAUGGCUCACCAAGGAGACGAUCAGUAGCUGGUCUGAGAGGAUGAUCAGCCACACUGGGACUGAGACCCGGCCCAGACUCGGACGGGAGGGAGAGGAGGGGAAUAUUGGACGAGGGGGGCAACCCUGACCAAGCCAUGCGGGGUAAGAGAUGCCGGGCUUAGGGUUGCAAAGCCCUUUUCGACGGGACGAUAAUGACGGUACCGGAGGAAUAAGCCCCGGCUAACUUCGUG
RNAcentral lists this ribosomal RNA (437 nucleotides) under uncultured bacterium. RNAcentral's name for it is "partial 16S ribosomal RNA". It matches the Rfam family "Bacterial small subunit ribosomal RNA", at positions 29 to 507 of the family's 1533-position model. The record is from RNAcentral.